AAACUAAGUGCAUGUCUCUCUCACUUUUGUUCGCAUUUCUUUUUACAUCAUCUUCGGGAUGAACACAAAUCUUUUCAUUUCUAAUAUUUUUUAUAUUUAUUUCCUUUUGAUUGAUUCAUGUGCAGUGUAAUGUUCUUGUAGGAUGACAAGUUGUCGCAUCUCGAGCAUGUCUCAUAGGAGAGUGGAAUGAAGUCCAUUGUAUUGUUGGAAUAGUAACAGAUGUGGCAUUGUUCUAUUGUGCAAUUCUAUUCGUUCUUGCUAUAUUCCUGUGUAAGGAAAUGUAUUCAUGAGAUGAGUUAUUGUGUUAUGUAAACCUGGGAGAGGUAUUUUGUGAUGUUAUAUAAUGGAUGAUUUUAAUUCGAUUUGGAGUUUUCUUGAUUUGAAUAUGAGAUAGUGUUGGAUUUAAUAUUGGACAAAUAAUUGGGUUGAAAAAGGCCCAACAAAUAGAAAUGGAACCAAGUUCUGGAACAAAAAGUUGCUGAAUUCAAAAAUGAAAAAGGGCC
This 503-nucleotide long non-coding RNA is filed under the name Hordeum vulgare. Its description in RNAcentral is "long non-coding RNA (HVUL_LNC012582)". Lineage: Eukaryota; Viridiplantae; Streptophyta; Magnoliopsida; Poales; Poaceae. The record is from RNAcentral.